UAGGGAAUAUUGCUCAAUGGGCGAAAGCCUGAAGCAGCAACGCCGCGUGUGCGAUGAAGGCCUUCGGGUCGUAAAGCACUUUUCUGAGAGAUGAGAAAGGACAGUAUCUCAGGAAUAAGUCUCGGCUAACUACGUGCCAGCAGCCGCGGUAAAACGUGGAGGCAAGCGUUAUCCGGAUUCACUGGGCGUAAAGCGCGUGCAGGCGGUUCGGUAAGUUGGGCGUGAAAUCUCCUGGCUUAACUAGGAGAGGUCGUCCAAUACUACCGGGCUAGAGAGUGGUAGAGGAAGAUGGAAUUCCCGGUGUAGUGGUGAAAUGCGUAGAUAUCGGGAGGAACACCAGUGGCGAAAGCGAUCUUCUGGACCAUUUCUGACGCUCAGACGCGAAAGCUAGGGUAGUAAACGGGAUUAGAGACCCCGGCAAUCCUAGCCGUAAACGAUGUAGACUUGGCGUCGGUGGCUUAAACGACCAUCGGUGCCGCAGCAAACGCGAUAAGUCC
Molecule: ribosomal RNA, 497 nt
Filed under: uncultured Chloroflexota bacterium
Lineage: Bacteria; Bacillati; Chloroflexota
Description: bacterial SSU rRNA
Rfam family: Bacterial small subunit ribosomal RNA
Source: RNAcentral